AGCGAACGCUGGCGGCAGGCUUAACACAUGCAAGUCGAGCGGGCACUUUCGGGUGUCAGCGGCGGACGGGUGGGUAACGCGUGGGAACGUGCCCUCUGGUUCGGAAUAACUCAGGGAAACUUGAGCUAAUACCGGAUACGCCCUUUUGGGGAAAGGCUUGCUGCCGGAGGAUCGCCCCGCGUCUGAUUAGCUAGUUGGUGAGGUAACGGCUCACCAAGGCGACGAUCAGUAGCUGGUCUGAGAGGAUGAUCAGCCACACUGGGACUGAGACACGGCCCAGACUCCUACGGGAGGCAGCAGUGGGGAAUAUUGGACGAUGGGCGCAAGCCUGAUCCAGCCAUGCCGCGUGAGUGAUGAAGGCCUUAGGGUUGUAAAGCUCUUUUAUCCGGGACGAUAAUGACGGUACCGGAGGAAUAAGCCCCGGCUAACUUCGUG
Molecule: ribosomal RNA, 435 nt
Filed under: uncultured bacterium
Lineage: Bacteria
Description: partial 16S ribosomal RNA
Rfam family: Bacterial small subunit ribosomal RNA
Source: RNAcentral